Molecule: ribosomal RNA, 5289 nt
Filed under: Pleurotus cornucopiae (cornucopia mushroom)
Lineage: Eukaryota; Fungi; Basidiomycota; Agaricomycetes; Agaricales; Pleurotaceae
Description: large subunit ribosomal RNA
Rfam family: Bacterial large subunit ribosomal RNA
Source: RNAcentral
UAAAAGUAUCGAUGACAAUAUAGUAUAACAUCAAAAAAAAAUAAAAAAGUAAUUCAAAGGGGUUAUUAAGGAUAGCACAAGCAAAUUUAUAAAAAAGGAGGUGUCAACCAAAUGCUUUCAUAAUAUUAAAUUAUUUAUCGUGAAAGCGAUCCUAAGGGAAACCUUUUAAUUAAUACUUCCUGAAGUAAAACAUUUUAGUAAGGAAAGGAAAGGAAAUCAACCGAGACUCCGAAAGUAAUGGUGAGUGAAAUCGGAUUAGCCUAAGAUUAUCUUUUAUAAAUUGAAUAAAUUAACUCUUUUUUAUAAUAUUCUUAAUUAAAUUUAUACCAAUAAACUUAAAUAAGUAAUAUGAAAUCAAGAACUUAAUUUACAAAUAAUUUUAUUUCAAAUAAAAAAAAUUUGUUCAAAGAAGGUUAAAAACAAUAAGUCCUGUAGAUUUAUAAAAAAAUAAUAUAAUAAGUACGAUGAGAGUUAACUUGUCGGAAUAUAGGGGAACCAUCCUCUAAGGCUAAGUAUUAUAAAUUUAGCGAUAGUGAAAAAGUACUGUAAAGGAAAAGUUUGAAAAGCAAUGGUUUAAAGAAACAUAAGAGUAAUUAUUAAAAUUUAAAUAAUAUCUAAAAAAUAUUAUACUUUAAUAAAUGCCGGUGAAAUAGAUCUUGAAUUAGUAACUCUAUAAGCAGUCGAAAUUUAAAACAAAAAAUGACGGCGUACCUUUUGCAUAAUGGGUCAGCAAGUUAAUAGGAGUAGCAAGGUUAAAAGCCCUAGCGAAAGCGACUGGACUAUAAUUAUAAAAAGUGUCAAGUUUUUCAUAAUAAAAUAUAGUGAUGGAUAAGUUACUUCUAUUAGACCCGAAGCCAGGUGAUCUUACUAAGACCAGAUUAUAAUGGAUCGAACGGGUGAAUGUUGCAUAAUUCUCCGAUGAGUUUUAGUAAGCGGUGAAAUGCCAAUCUGACCUGGUGCUAUCUGGUUUUCUACCGAAACAUAUUUAAGUAUGACAUCUACACAAAAUUUAUGGAGGUACAGCAAGGCAAUUCCCAACAAGUAUAAGAGUCAUUAUUUACAAAUAAUUUCGUCUUAUAGGCGUUUAGGUUGUGGGGACCUCGAAAAUCUUACCUAUGGAAGCGAAUCUCGGAAGUACAUAAAUUGAUGGUAGAUAUUCAGACUAUCCAUGCUAAGUUGGAUAGUCAAGACGGAAACAGCCGAGAACAUUGAUCAAGGUCCCAAAUGAUUAUUAAGUGAAAUUAAGGAUGUUUAAAAUCGGAUACAGCUGUGAAGUGAGCUUGGAAGUAGCUUCUUAUAAUGAUCGUAUGUAACAACGCAUCAGCAGUCUAGAUUGUAGCGCCGAAAAUUUAACGGGUCUAAAAUAAUCAACCGAUAUCGUGUUGGUUUUAAAUAAUAAUAAAAAUAAAAAAUAAAAAUAAAUAAAUAAAUAAAUAAAAUAAAAAGUUUUUCUUUUUUAAAAUUCUUAUUUUAAACCUAGGUAGUAGAACAUUCAGUCAAACUAUUUAUAAAACAGUGUUUCAUUGUUUUUAGGUAACUGAAGAGAGAAUGCUGACAUGAGUAACGUAAAAAGAAGUUAUAAUACUUCUCGCCGAAUACGAAAGGGUUGUAAGUGAAAGGUUAAUCCGCCUUACGUGAAUGCGGCCUCUAAGGACUAGAACGAAAGUUUUGGCUGAUGAGUAUAUAAUAGAAAAUCCAUUUUUUGGAUCAGGAAAUUAAUAUGAGAUAAAAUUUUAUUUUUAUCUGUAAGAACUUAAUUUUAUUUUUAAUAGGUGUAAAUUUUACAAAUUUUAUAGUAACCUUUAUUCUUUUUAUUUUUUAAAUAAGAAAAUAGAAAAAUCAAAUUAAGACUACCGUACCCUAAACCGACACAGGUUCGUAGGUAGAGAAUACUAAGGCGUAGAGCUAAAAGUUGUUAAGGAACUCGGCAAAUUAACCUGCAUUGUGUUCUUGGAAAACACAUAAGUGGGUCAAACCAUCAAACUCCGGGGACACCCUAAAGGUCCUGAUACCAAGCUAUAGUCGAAAGGUUAUAAGUGGCCAGAAUAAUUACCUGGGUAUGGUAACAAGUCAGGAUAUGAUUGAAAAUGAAAUGGGUUAUCGCGGAUCUAAAUCAGAAAAUAAAGUUUCUGUAAAAGAGCAACGAGUAGACGGUGGUUAUUGCAUAAAGCCAAUGCAAUUAAGGUGUACUCUAAUGGGUUUCGAAAGAAACUAUCAAAUCAAAAUCCAUUCUAAACAAUUAAAUAAAAAAUAUUUUUCUACUUUAACCAAUCUAAAUAAUAAAUUAAACCCAUGGUUUAUUACUGGUUUUACCGAUGCUGAAGGGUGUUUCUCCUUUGCAAUUAAACCCGACGCCAAAUCCACAUUAAAAUGGAGGAGUUCUCCUCUUUUUUUAAUCAAAUUGCACAUUAAAGAUAUUGCAAUAUUAGAACUAAUUAAACACACUUUAAUGGUAGGGAAAAUAAGAACAAAUGGAACAAAUUCAGUUCAAUACAUAGUGGAAUCAAUUAAAGAAUUACAAGUAAUUGUAGAUCAUUUUAAUAAAUACUCUCUUGUAACUCAAAAAGCUUCUGAUUUUUUAAUUUUUAAACAAUGUUUUGAAAUCAUUAAACAGAGAGAACAUUUAACGGAAAAAGGUUUUUUUAAAUUAAUCGGUUUAAAAAGCUCUCUUAAUUGAGGUCUUUCUGAAAAAUUACAACAAACUUUUCCACACGUAAGCCUUGUAGAAAGACCAAAAUAUCAAUUUAAUGGUAUUCCUAAUCCUUAUUGGAUAGCAGGUUUUACAAGUGGGGACGGUUCUUUCCAUUUAAAUCUUAAAAACACAGAAGGUACUGUAAGUCACCCCAGCCGAAGGUGAGGAGUAGUCUCAUUAAGGUUUUCAAUUAAUCUUAAUAUUAGAGAUGUUGAAGUUCUUAAAGGUUUGAUAAUUUACUUUCAUACUUUAAACAAAACAAGUACUGUAGUGAAAGGAAUGCUUAACCAGAAUAAUAAAUAUGUCUCUAUAUCUGAUAACACUGUAAGUCUUGCAAUAACAAAAAUUUCUGAGUUAAUUGAAGUAAUUAUUCCUUUUUUUGAAAAGUACCCUAUACAAGGUGUUAAAAGUUUAGAUUUUGCAGAAUUUAAAAAGGUUGCUAUGAUGAUAGUUGCUAAAGAACAUUUAACUAUCAAAGGCUUAAAUAGAAUUUUAGAAAUAAAAUUAAACAUGACUAAGCAUAGAAAGUGGUAAUAUUUUAUAUUUUAAUUGCAUGAUAAAUUUGACUAGCCAUGCAUAAGUUUGACGACAAGAGGUACCGCAUAUUAUUAAUAAUAAUUAUUAAAUAGUAAAAUAUCUAAUAUUUUUUCUUUUUAUAAGGCGGUGACACAUAAUCGGAGGCCCCGACUGUUUACUAAAAACACAGAUCACAGCAAUCAUGUAAAUGAUAGUAUUGUGGUCGAAAUUUGCCCGAUGCCAUUAAUAUAAGAGAGGUUAUAGUUUCUGUGACUAAUCGAAAGUCUGGUUAAUAGCGGUCUUAACUAUGAGGAUCCUAAGGUAGCAAAAUAAAUUGGCCAUUAAAUGUGGUCCGGUAUCAAUAAUGUAACGAGGGCCUCACUGUCUCUACAACUUGCUCAGUGAAAUUGAAUUACCCGUGCAGAUGCGGGUUACCUCCAGGGGGACGGGAAGACCCUAUGCAGCUUUACUGUAGUUAGUUAUCAUAUUAAUCUACAACAACCUUUGUUACUAGAGAAUAGGUAAGUCGAUAGACUAUUUGUGGAAACCUUAAAACUUAGGUUGGGUUAAUGUUUACCUUUAUAUAAAAUAAAAACUUAAAAGGGAGAGGUUACUAAUUGGCAGUUUGACUGGGGCGGUCGUCUUUAAUAAAGUAGCAAAGUACAUCCAAAUAUUUAAAUUAUUAUAAUGUUUAAGUUUAAAUUUAGUUUCUGAAUUUAAAUUAUUUUACAUUUCAAACAAAUAAAAUAUAAAAUAAUAUUAUAUUUUUUAUAUUAAUAUCUUUCAUAUACUUUUGUAUAUAGUAAAGAAAUACACAAAAAAUUAAAAAAGGUAUAGCUAGAAAUUGAAUGGAGAUCAAUCAACCAGUGAAAGGUUGUGCAGGGCUCAAUGGCGGUAAGCAUGCUUAACUGAAAGACCUAAAAGUCGCACAGAUACGUAAGUAGGGCAUAGUGACCCCUCGCUAUAAUAUGGGAUAGACGGGGAUCAAUUGAUAAAAGUUACGCUAGGGAUAACAGGCUGAUAGCCGACGAGAGUACACAUUGUCUCGGCUGAUUGGCACCUUAUGAACAAAAUAAAUAAAUAUAUUAACGCACACAAGAUUACUCUUAAAUUUAAAAUUAAAAGUGAUAUAGGUAAUAUAGAUAUUUAUGACAUUGGGGAAUUUUAAUAGAAAUAUUAACUUAGAAUUUGGCUAUUUGCUGGAACACCCUUAGAGCUAUCAAUACUUAUUUUUUUAGUAAUAAAAUUAUUUCAUUUUUUUAAUGAUUUAAUAAGUGAAAAUUUGAUAGAUUGGGCAAUCAGCAGGGAAGUGAUUAAAUUUAGAUGUAAGUAAUUGUAAAAUUUCUCACCCCUCAACGAUCACACGCCAACAACCAGAGCUUUUCCAAUUUACUCUUGGAACUGGUUGAAGAUAUGAUCUAAACUUAACUGAAAGGUUAAGAGUAUUAGUCUAAUUAGUAUAAUUUUUAUAAUUUACUUUAUUUACUAAUAUAUAAUGCGAUGUCGACUCAUCCUAUCCUCCGGGGGAAGAAGCUUGGAAGGGUUCGGCUGUUCGCCGAUUAAAAGGGUACGCGAGUUGGGUUUAAUACGACGUGAGUCAGUAUGGUCCCUAUCUUCUGGAGGAAGAAAUAGUAAAAAGGGGCAGACCUUCUAGUACGAAAGGAUCAAUAGGCUGUGUUUCUCUAGUGUACCAAUUGUUUGUACUAACUUUUUUGUUAGGGACCUGUUUUAAAUGUAAUAGGAAAAGUCCUUUUAUAAUUUAUAUUAAGCAAAUAAAUUAUACUUUCUUUUUAAAUAUACUGUUUUUAAAUCUUUAAGUGCGAAACAGUUAAAAGAGUUGAAUAAAAAGGCUACAAGAAAUUAGGAAUGCAUAGUUGGGUAGCCACAAACAUAAUAGAUAAGUGCUGAAUGUCUAUCAAGCAAGAAUCUAACCCCUAGAUACUAAAACGAUUUUUAUUUUAAUAUAUUUUAUAUAUCAAAAUUUAAAGUCGUAAAUUAAGAAAUAGAACAUUUCUAGAUAGGCUGCAAAUGUAAAUAUUGUAAAAUAAAUAGUUUAGCAGUACUAAUUUAUAAAAAUACUA